This 329-nucleotide unclassified non-coding RNA is filed under the name soil metagenome. Its description in RNAcentral is "partial contains 5.8S ribosomal RNA, internal transcribed spacer 2, and large subunit ribosomal RNA". The stretch from base 1 to 120 matches the Rfam family "5.8S ribosomal RNA", at positions 35 to 154 of the family's 154-position model. The record is from RNAcentral.
GAUGAAGAACGCAGCGAAAUGCGAUACGUAAUGUGAAUUGCAGAAUUCAGUGAAUCAUCGAGUCUUUGAACGCACAUUGCGCCCUCUGGUAUUCCGGGGGGCAUGCCUGUUCGAGCGUCAUUAUAACCACUCAAGCUCUCGCUUGGUAUUGGAGUUCGCGAUCUCGCGGCUCCUAAAAUCAGUGGCGGUGCCUGUCGGCUCUACGCGUAGUAAUACUCCUCGCGAUUGAGUCCGGUAGGUUUACUUGCCAGCAACCCCCAAUUUUUACAGGUUGACCUCGGAUCAGGUAGGGAUACCCGCUGAACUUAAGCAUAUCAAUAAGCGGAGGA